Molecule: ribosomal RNA, 266 nt
Filed under: uncultured bacterium
Lineage: Bacteria
Description: partial 16S ribosomal RNA
Rfam family: Bacterial small subunit ribosomal RNA
Source: RNAcentral
CGGACCGGCGCGACGGGUGAGUAACGCGUAUGCAACUUACCUAUCAGGAGGGGGAUAACCCGGCGAAAGUCGGACUAAUACCGCAUGAAGCAGGGGCCCCGCAUGGGGAUAUUUGCUAAAGAUUCAUCGCUGAUAGAUAGGCAUGCGUUCCAUUAGGCAGUUGGCGGGGUAACGGCCCACCAAACCGACGAUGGAUAGGGGUUCUGAGAGGAAGGUCCCCCACAUUGGUACUGAGACACGGACCAAACUCCUACGGAAGGCAGCAG